AUUCAAACUUAAGAGUUUGAUCCUGGCUCAGAACGAACGCUGGCGGCAGGCUUAAUACAUGCAAGUCGAGCGGUCUCCUUCGGGAGACAGCGGCGGACGGGUUAGUAACGCGUGGGAACGUGCCCUUUAGUACGGAAUAGCCAUUGGAAACGAUGAUUAAUACCGUAUA
This 169-nucleotide ribosomal RNA is filed under the name Hyphomicrobiales bacterium. Its description in RNAcentral is "Rhizobiales bacterium partial 16S ribosomal RNA". It matches the Rfam family "Bacterial small subunit ribosomal RNA", at positions 1 to 175 of the family's 1533-position model. RNAcentral also lists the same sequence under 1 other name. Lineage: Bacteria; Pseudomonadati; Pseudomonadota; Alphaproteobacteria; Hyphomicrobiales. The record is from RNAcentral.